This 1346-nucleotide ribosomal RNA is filed under the name uncultured bacterium. Its description in RNAcentral is "partial 16S ribosomal RNA". It matches the Rfam family "Bacterial small subunit ribosomal RNA", at positions 28 to 1381 of the family's 1533-position model. The record is from RNAcentral.
GACGAACGUUGGCGGCGUGCUUAACACAUGCAAGUCGAACGGAAAGGCCCUGCUUUUGUGGGGUGCUCGAGUGGCGAACGGGUGAGUAACACGUGAGUAACCUGCCCUUGACUUUGGGAUAACUUCAGGAAACUGGGGCUAAUACCGGAUAGGAGCUCCUGCUGCAUGGUGGGGGUUGGAAAGUUUCGGCGGUUGGGGAUGGACUCGCGGCUUAUCAGCUUGUUGGUGGGGUAGUGGCUUACCAAGGCUUUGACGGGUAGCCGGCCUGAGAGGGUGACCGGCCACAUUGGGACUGAGAUACGGCCCAGACUCCUACGGGAGGCAGCAGUGGGGAAUAUUGCACAAUGGGCGGAAGCCUGAUGCAGCAACGCCGCGUGCGGGAUGACGGCCUUCGGGUUGUAAACCGCUUUCGCCUGUGACGAAGCGUGAGUGACGGUAAUGGGUAAAGAAGCACCGGCUAACUACGUGCCAGCAGCCGCGGUGAUACGUAGGGUGCGAGCGUUGUCCGGAUUUAUUGGGCGUAAAGGGCUCGUAGGUGGUUGAUCGCGUCGGAAGUGUAAUCUUGGGGCUUAACCCUGAGCGUGCUUUCGAUACGGGUUGACUUGAGGAAGGUAGGGGAGAAUGGAAUUCCUGGUGGAGCGGUGGAAUGCGCAGAUAUCAGGAGGAACACCAGUGGCGAAGGCGGUUCUCUGGGCCUUUCCUGACGCUGAGGAGCGAAAGCGUGGGGAGCGAACAGGCUUAGAUACCCUGGUAGUCCACGCUGUAAACGGUGGGUACUAGGUGUGGGGUCCAUUCCACGGGUUCCGUGCCGUAGCUAACGCUUUAAGUACCCCGCCUGGGGAGUACGGCCGCAAGGCUAAAACUCAAAGGAAUUGACGGGGCCCCGCACAAGCGGCGGAGCAUGCGGAUUAAUUCGAUGCAACGCGUAGAACCUUACCUGGGUUUGACAUGGAUCGGGAGUGCUCAGAGAUGGGUGUGCCUCUUUUGGGGUCGGUUCACAGGUGGUGCAUGGCUGUCGUCAGCCCGUGUCGUGAGAUGUUGGGUUAAGUCCCGCAACGAGCGCAACCCUUGUUCACUGUUGCCAGCACGUUAUGGUGGGGACUCAGUGGAGACCGCCGGGGUCAACUCGGAGGAAGGUGGGGAUGACGUCAAGUCAUCAUGCCCCUUAUGUCCAGGGCUUCACGCAUGCUACAAUGGCUGGUACAGAGAGUGGCGAGCCUGUGAGGGUGAGCGAAUCUCGGAAAGCCGGUCUCAGUUCGGAUUGGGGUCUGCAACUCGACCUCAUGAAGUCGGAGUCGCUAGUAAUCGCAGAUCAGCAACGCUGCGGUGAAUACGUUCCCGGGGCU